GAGAGAGAGAGAGAGAGAGAGAGAGAGAGAGAGAGAGAGGAGAGUAGAAUUUCGUGUGUAGGGGUGAAAUCCGGAGAUCUACGGAGGAAGGCCAAAAGCAAAGGCAGCUCUUUGGGUCCCUACCGACGCUGGUGUGUGAAAGCAUGGGGAGCGAACA
Long non-coding RNA from Rhodamnia argentea, 157 nucleotides. RefSeq lists it as uncharacterized. The record is from RefSeq and is a predicted model, not a curated record. Lineage: Eukaryota; Viridiplantae; Streptophyta; Magnoliopsida; Myrtales; Myrtaceae. The transcript has 2 exons.